RNAcentral lists this ribosomal RNA (233 nucleotides) under uncultured bacterium. RNAcentral describes it as "partial 16S ribosomal RNA". It matches the Rfam family "Bacterial small subunit ribosomal RNA", at positions 28 to 256 of the family's 1533-position model. The record is from RNAcentral.
GAUGAACGCUAGCGGCAGGCCUAAUACAUGCAAGUCGAACGGUAAGUAUGAUAGCAAUAUUGUACCAAGAGUGACGUACGGGUGCGUAACACGUAUGCAACCUACCCUUUACAGAUGGAUAGCUCGGGGAACUCGAAUUAACCCGUCAUAGUAUAGUUGAAUGGCAUCAUUUAAUUAAUUAAACUAGAGGUGGUAAAGGAGUGGGCGAUGCGUCUGAUUAGUUAGGGUCGGGG